Molecule: long non-coding RNA, 810 nt
Filed under: Homo sapiens (human)
Lineage: Eukaryota; Metazoa; Chordata; Mammalia; Primates; Hominidae
Description: non-protein coding lnc-VAV3-1:2
Source: RNAcentral
UGGUAACAAGAUGGCUCUAUGAGCUGGCCAUACUCAGUAGUCAGAGUGAAACCGGCCAUGUAAAAACGACAAAGCAUAGGAUUCAGUGUAGGAGCUUGGGCCCCGUGGUAUCAGUUGACUUACAGACUGAGUUCAACCACAUGGGCAACAUAUUAAUCAAUCAUACCUAUGCAAUAAAGUCUUCAUAAAAACUAUGGACAACAAAGUUCUGCAGACUUUGCAAAAAAGAAAGAAGAAAGUAAAUAAAUGAAAAUAGAAAGGAAGCUAGAGAAAGAGAGAAAGAAAGAAAGAAAGAGAGAGAAAGAGAGAAUGAAUGAGAGAAAGAAAGAAAGAGGAAGAGAAAGAGAGAGGAAGAAAGAAUAAAUGAGAGAGAAAAAAAGAAGAAAGAAAGAAAAAAGAAAGGAAGAGAGGAAGAAAAGAGAGAGAAAGAAUUUUUUUUCAUUUUACUUUCCCUGAAUCCUUCCCCAGAGUGUUCAGAAAUAUCAAAUAUGAGCUGAAUAAGUAGUGGAAAGACAAGGAUUCAUCCGUUCCACAGACUACAAACCUGGCCGAUAGAGGGAAUAUUUCAUUUUAGAUCAAAUGAUUCACUGUCAUCUUUGUCUGAUAUUACAACAUAGUGACCACACAACUAUCCUCAAUGGUAUUUGACUACAUGGAUUCUGUAAAAAGAUGAAGCUUAAGAACACUAUUUUUUUUCAAGUGCAAUAUACUGUAGUCAUAAGAUGAAUGGGGUCUUGUCCAUAUAUCUACAUGAAAUUUAGAUAAAGCAAGCAAUGUGAAGAACACAUAAUCUCACAUUUUGCAUGUCAC